UAAGGAAUAUUGGACAAUGGAGGCAACUCUGAUCCAGCCAUGCCGCGUGAAGGAAUAAGGCCCUAUGGGUUGUAAACUUCUUUUAGACGGGACAAAACCCCUUUACGUGUAAAGGGUUGAUGGUACUGUCAGAAUAAGCAUCGGCUAACUUCGUGCCAGCAGCCGCGGUAAUACGAAGGAUGCAAGCGUUAUCCGGAAUUAUUGGGUUUAAAGGGUGCGUAGGCGGACUAAUAAGUCAGUGGUGAAAGCCUGCAGCUUAACUGCAGAAUUGCCAUUGAUACUGUUAGUCUUGAGUACAGUUGAGGUAGGCGGAAUGUGUCAUGUAGCGGUGAAAUGCUUAGAUAUGACACAAAACACCGAUUGCGAAGGCAGCUUGCUAAGCUGUAACUGACGCUGAGGCACGAAAGCGUGGGGAGCAAAC
This 421-nucleotide ribosomal RNA is filed under the name uncultured bacterium. Its description in RNAcentral is "bacterial SSU rRNA". It matches the Rfam family "Bacterial small subunit ribosomal RNA", at positions 355 to 773 of the family's 1533-position model. The record is from RNAcentral.